Molecule: non-coding RNA, 65 nt
Organism: Cordylochernes scorpioides
Lineage: Eukaryota; Metazoa; Arthropoda; Arachnida; Pseudoscorpiones; Chernetidae
Source: the annotation of a GenBank genome assembly
UGCGGUGACCAGGAUUCGAACCUGGGUUACUGCGGCCAAUGUCCUAACCACUAGACGAUCACGGC